AUUGUCCCUGCACUCAGCCCCUCCCAAGCUUACUUAUGGCACCCAUCAUGUCUCUAACUAAUGAUUAAUAAUAGUUAAAGCUCAGAAACCAAGCCUAUCACCAGGAAGUGGAAUCGGGGAUCUGUGGACGUAACUCUGGAUUUGUAAGAACCUAAAGAAAUUAUGUCUGUGGAGACCAAAUUUAGCUGAUAAUUGUUCAAACGUAGUAAAUGUAUUGUUAAUACAGAGCCCUGUAAAUCUUUUAAUACCGGGACUAGACCGUGUUGAGAAAGCACCCUCAACCAUAGAUGGGAAGAAACUGGGAUUGAGGCUACCGGAGCGAAAGAAGAGGUUGUCUGAAACCCAAAGUGGCGUCUAAAUUGAUUCCGUUGUUGUUUUGAUACAUAUAUUUUUGGUGAAGGAAGAGUGAGAGAGGGAAGACGAUGAUGCCGUUAUAGAUGAGGUCCCUUUACAUCUCUAGACAAAUUUGGGGUGGGAAUAUCUCUCUGCUCUGCAACCAGUACUGAAUGAUCCUAAGAUGGCCGAGCGGGGUAGGUGUGGAGCCAGAGACAGCGGUGGUGUCAAACUGUAGACCCCAGUUCCUACAUUUGAACAUAAAAAUGUAUUUUAUCAAACAAAACUAUGCUACAUUUUAUCUCUGGGACCCUCAGGAUGACAAACCAGAGCAAGAUAACUGAAUGAGGACCAAACUGAAGCAGAGUGUCACAGGCG
RNAcentral lists this long non-coding RNA (711 nucleotides) under Salmo salar (Atlantic salmon). RNAcentral's name for it is "lncRNA (ENSSSAG00000097339.1)". Lineage: Eukaryota; Metazoa; Chordata; Actinopteri; Salmoniformes; Salmonidae. The record is from RNAcentral.